CUUGGCGACCAUAGCGUUUUGGACCCACCUGAACCCAUUCCGAACUCAGAAGUGAAACAAAAUAGCGUCGAUGGUAGUGUGGGGUUUCCCCAUGUGAGAGUAGAACAUCGCCAGGC
This 116-nucleotide ribosomal RNA is filed under the name Vibrio vulnificus. Lineage: Bacteria; Pseudomonadati; Pseudomonadota; Gammaproteobacteria; Vibrionales; Vibrionaceae. The record is from RNAcentral.